ACGGGUGCGCAACGCGUGGGAAUCUGCCCUUUGGUUCGGAAUAACAGUUGGAAACGACUGCUAAUACCGGAUGAUGACGUAAGUCCAAAGAUUUAUCGCCAGAGGAUGAGCCCGCGUAGGAUUAGCUAGUUGGUGUGGUAAGAGCGCACCAAGGCGACGAUCCUUAGCUGGUCUGAGAGGAUGAUCAGCCACACUGGGACUGAGACACGGCCCAGACUCCUACGGGAGGCAGCAGUGGGGAAUAUUGGACAAUGGGCGAAAGCCUGAUCCAGCAAUGCCGCGUGAGUGAUGAAGGCCUUAGGGUUGUAAAGCUCUUUUACCCGGGAUGAUAAUGACAGUACCGGGAGAAUAAGCUCCGGCUAACUCCGUGCCAGCAGCCGCGGUAAUACGGAGGGAGCUAGCGUUGUUCGGAAUUACUGGGCGUAAAGCGCACGUAGGCGGCUUUGUAAGUUAGAGGUGAAAGCCUGGAGCUCAACUCCAGAAUUGCCUUUAAGACUGCAUCGCUUGAAUCCAGGAGAGGUGAGUGGAAUUCCGAGUGUAGAGGUGAAAUUCGUAGA
Molecule: ribosomal RNA, 557 nt
Filed under: uncultured Sphingomonas sp.
Lineage: Bacteria; Pseudomonadati; Pseudomonadota; Alphaproteobacteria; Sphingomonadales; Sphingomonadaceae
Description: bacterial SSU rRNA
Rfam family: Bacterial small subunit ribosomal RNA
Source: RNAcentral